AUACAUUUCUCGGCCUUUUGGCAAAGAUCAAGUGUAGUAUCUAUUUUUAUCAGUUUAAUAUAUGAUGAGUGAGACAUCAGCCCACACGAUAUUAACUCAAUUUUUUAAGAGAAAUGUCCAUUAGAGUAGCUUGUUAUCCGGGCCUUCACGCAUCGCUUAGGCGUUGCACUACAGCCCAGGCCUGGAGCCAGGGGC
RNAcentral lists this small nuclear RNA (195 nucleotides) under Nicotiana sylvestris (wood tobacco). RNAcentral describes it as "U2 spliceosomal RNA". It matches the Rfam family "U2 spliceosomal RNA". From Rfam's summary of the family: U2 is a small nuclear RNA (snRNA) component of the spliceosome (involved in pre-mRNA splicing). Complementary binding between U2 snRNA (in an area lying towards the 5' end but 3' to hairpin I) and the branchpoint sequence (BPS) of the intron results the bulging out of an unpaired adenosine, on the BPS, which initiates a nucleophilic attack at the intronic 5' splice site, thus starting the first of two transesterification reactions that mediate splicing. The record is from Rfam by way of RNAcentral. Lineage: Eukaryota; Viridiplantae; Streptophyta; Magnoliopsida; Solanales; Solanaceae.